Non-coding RNA from Acanthosepion pharaonis, 114 nucleotides. The record is from the annotation of a GenBank genome assembly. NCBI's taxonomy places the organism in Eukaryota, Metazoa, Mollusca, Cephalopoda, Sepiida, Sepiidae.
UUACGACCACAUCACAUUGAAACACCAGUUUCCGUAUUAUCACUGAAGUUAAGCAACAUCGAGCUUGAUCAGUACCUAGAUGGGUGACCGCUUAGGAAUACCAGGUGCUGUAAG